This 1486-nucleotide ribosomal RNA is filed under the name wastewater metagenome. RNAcentral's name for it is "bacterial SSU rRNA". It matches the Rfam family "Bacterial small subunit ribosomal RNA". The record is from RNAcentral.
AGAGUUUGAUCAUAGCUCAGGAUGAACGCUGGCGGUGCGCCUAACACAUGCAAGUCGAACGCGAACCAUUUAGAUUACUUUGAAGGGCUUGCCUGGAUGAGUAUGAAAUUUUCGGUUUGAGUGGCGAACGAGAGAGUAAUGUAUUGGUAUCUCCCCCCAAGUCAGGGAUAGCCCAUCGAAAGAUGGAUUAAUACCGGAUAGUCCCGCAAGGGUAAAGCAGCAAUGCGCUCGGGGAAGAGCCUGUAUCCUAUCAGCUAGUUGGCGGGGUAAUAGCCCACCAAGGCAAUGACGGGUAGCUGGUCUGAGAGGACGACCAGCCUCGAUGGAACUGAGACACGGUCCAUACACCUACGGGUGGCAGCAGUGAGGAAUCUUCCACAAUGGACGAAAGUCUGAUGGAGCGACACCGCGUGAAGGAUGAAGGUUUUGUUAUUGUAAACUUCUUUUCUCAGGGACGAUAAUGACGGUACCUGAGGAAUAAGGGACGGCUAACUAUGUGCCAGCAGCCGCGGUAAUACAUAGGUCCCAAGCGUUAUCCGGAAUUACUGGGCGUAAAGCGUCUGCAGGUGGAAAAGUGUGUGAGACGUGAAAGACCGGGGCUCAACCCCGUGUUUGUGUCUCAAACUGCUUUUCUUGAGUGAGCAAGAGGUAUGCGGAAUUUAUGGAGUAGGAGUGCAAUCCGUUGACACCAUAAAGAACACCAAAAGCGAAGGCAGCAUACUGGGGCUCUACUGACACUCAGAGACGAAAGCGUGGGGAGCGAAAGGGAUUAGAUACCCCUGUAGUCCACGCCCUAAACUAUGAUGACUAGGUGUUGGUCCUUCGGGAUCAGUGCCGUAGCUAACGCGUUAAGUCAUCCGCCUGAGUAGUACGACCGCAAGGUUAAAACUCAAAUGAAUAGACGGGGGCCCACACAAGCAGUGGAUCAUGCGGUUUAAUUCGAUACUGAACGAGGAACCUUACCCAGACUUGAUAUCUACGAAACCUCUCAGAAAUGAGAGGGUGCCCUCACGGGAAUCGUAAGACAGGUGCUGCAUGGUUGCCGUCAGCUCGUGCCUUGAGGUGUUCNNAGAGUCCGUUAACGAGCGAAACCCAUGUCGUUAGUUACUAUGUCUAACGAGACUGCCCGAGUUAAUCGGGAGGAAGGUGUGGAUGACGUCAAAUCAGCAUGGCCCUUAUGUCUGGGGCUACACGCAUGAUACAAUGGUCGGUACAAAGAGUCGCUAACCUGCGAAGGUACGCUAAUCUCAUAAAGCCGAUCUCAGUCCGGAUUGUAGGCUGAAACUCGCCUACAUGAAGUUGGAAUUGCUAGUAAUCGUGAAUCAGAUAUGUCACGGUGAAUAUGUUCCUGGGUCUUGUACUCACCGCCCGUCAAAGCAUGGAAGAUGUACCUACCGGAAGUCCCUUAAGUAAUAUGAGGGCCUAUGGUAGAGAUAUUGACUGGGCUUAAGUCGUAACAAGGUAUCCGUACGAGAACGUGCGGAUG